GCGUGCGGGAAGAAGGCCUUCGGGUUGUAAACCGCUUUUGUCAGGGAAGAAACGGUCCAAUUUAAUACAUUGGACUAAUGACGGUACCUGAAGAAUAAGCACCGGCUAACUACGUGCCAGCAGCCGCGGUAAUACGUAGGGUGCAAGCGUUAAUCGGAAUUACUGGGCGUAAAGCGUGCGCAGGCCGCUAUGUAAGACAGAUGUGAAAUCCCCGGGCUCAACCUGGGAACUGCAUUUGUGACUGCAUGGCUAGAGUACGGCAGAGGGGGAUGGAAUUCCGCGUGUAGCAGUGAAAUGCGU
Molecule: ribosomal RNA, 300 nt
Filed under: uncultured bacterium
Lineage: Bacteria
Description: bacterial SSU rRNA
Rfam family: Bacterial small subunit ribosomal RNA
Source: RNAcentral